RNAcentral lists this long non-coding RNA (366 nucleotides) under Volvox carteri. RNAcentral describes it as "long non-coding RNA (VCAR_LNC001157)". Lineage: Eukaryota; Viridiplantae; Chlorophyta; Chlorophyceae; Chlamydomonadales; Volvocaceae. The record is from RNAcentral.
UGGAACCAUGCGGUACUCUUCUGACACCUCAACGAGCCAGUCGACAAGAAUGGAGCGCAUUUUGGCGUUGAUUUCCGGCUGCGAAUCGAUGUAAUCAGGUAUGGGCCGCCGUAGAAGCUGCACAGGAACCGAGUAAAAGCAAAUUGCACCUCAGAAGUGCAUCGUCGAUUCGUGCGCCAAUUUCGUAUCCCCAUUCCUUUUGCCGCAGGGAGUCCCCUUGAUCACGCCUCGGGUGCCCUUUCUAUUAACACCAGCUACCCCAUUUUCCCAACCACGUAAGUAUUAGUGCUCAAUCCCGCACUAUGUAAACCGGAGAUCUAUGUGCACAUCUAUGCUGCGCCAGUCAACCCCACUUGAGCGUCGUGC